Molecule: long non-coding RNA, 2655 nt
Filed under: Bos grunniens (domestic yak)
Lineage: Eukaryota; Metazoa; Chordata; Mammalia; Artiodactyla; Bovidae
Description: lncRNA (ENSBGRG00000001123.1)
Rfam family: tRNA (bases 2247-2318)
Source: RNAcentral
UUUUCCAGAGUCUUCUCCCAUAGCAGGUGAUUUUUUUUAGUGAUAGCUCCCAGACAAGCUUCUAGCAUCCUGAAGGCAGAGGUGUGUGUGCUCUGCAACCAGAACACCCCCAGAGCCUGGAGGCACCUGGCCCAGCAGCUAGCACGCAGUGGGUUUUUAUGUGUAUUAGUGAAUAAAUCAACGUGGUGGCCUUUGAGUUGAGCCUUAACAGACAAAAAAAGGAGUUAAGUAGGUGGCAAAGGGGAUGGCAUAUUUAUUAAUUACUUUGCUUAAUUUAAAUUAUGGAUUUUAAUAGCUAAUAUAGUUAUAUAGUUCAAAAACCAAAGCACUAUAAGACAGAUAUUAAGAAGGCUCACUUUCAUCCUUAUCUCCAUUUAUUCCUUUCCCUAUCUCAUCAUACCCCUCUCCUGCCCACUGCGAGUUACCAUUUUUAUUGAGAUUUAUAUAUUAUUGCAGUAUAUCUUGUGCAAAUAAAACUAUAAACAAAUAUAUUAUCUUACUUUCUCCCCUUUCCUCACAAAUGCUGGUAUACUCAAAAACUGUUCUGCUCUUUUUUUUUUUUUAACUCAACAAUAUAUCCUGGAGAUAUCUCCUGACAGUACAUUGAGAAAGAUCUUUUUCUUCCUACAGCUGCACUGUACUCCAUGGUAUGCUGCUGCUGCUGCUAAGUCACUUCAGUCGUGUCCGACUCUGUGCGACCCCAUAGAUGGCAGCCCACCAGGCUCCCCCGUUCCUGGGAUUCUCCAGGCAAAACUCCAUGGUAUAGAUGCACCCUAUUGGAAAGAGGUGUCUACUAAGUCCAAAACGAAUCGGAGGAGCCACAUCAGCUGGAUGCCAUUAAAGCCUCAAGAUUGUAUCUCAUCUUUCAAUCGUUCUUCUGACCACACAUAGAACAUUCAGCAAAAAGAUGUUUGCCAUGGAACCAUCAUCUGUUCCCCAGCUCUGCUGUAUCUGAUAGUGAAAUCAGCUUGCUUUGAUACUGAACGUGUUGGACGGAGAUAAUUAAUUCUCCGUCUGGAUAAGUAAGUCAUUAUUUCACCUCUUGUCCCUGCUUUAAUCAGCUCCUUCGAGCCAUCAAAUGCGCCUGCACACAGGAUCACGCACGCGCUCCCCGGGAGUUAUCAAAUCCCGUCUGCCCAAAGAAAUCAGCUUUACAGAUUUUAGAGGGGAUUUAAGACACUAAACGGUGUUCUUCAAUGAACAGUAAUGAGAUUCUACUAACAACUUGAUUUACAGACCAAAUGUGACAGAUGUGGCUAAUCUGGUUUGAUAAUAGUACACAUAAUAAAAUUCUAGUUUAAAAAUAGUGCCAGUUGAGAACCUUUCUUCCAUAUAAACAGUUCCGAAGUCUUUUAGUGGAGAAGAAACCCUAUUGUCUGAUUAUGCUGCAAUUGGUAUGAAAUAUUUCACUAAUGAAUUAAAAUUCCUGCAUUUUAAAACAUUUUGAGUGUUAGACUAAAAACAUUAAAAAAAAAAUUGGAAGCCUAGCAAAGACGGCAAGACUGACCUUAUUUUUAUAAUUCUCUGACUAUUGAGUUCAAGAACCUAGUAGCUAACACAGAGCUGGCCACUCAACAGAGAUCAGUUGGGCCAAAAUCUUUAAAUGUUUGUUCAGUUGAAAUGUCUGUUUUAUCUUUAGCCUGCCUUUUUAUCUGUGUGGAAUGUUCCUCUGGCAAAAGUAUUCUGACACAUAGAUGUUUCUUUUUUUUUCCUAAGUACUAAAUUACAUUGCUUUUGGAGUUUCAGACUUUGAAUGUACCCCAUGUGAUACAUUUGAAGUGGCAGAUGGAAAUUCUAAACUAUGUGAAAGAAAAAUUUAUUUCUCUUUCUCGUUUUCUGUUCAACCAUAAUAUUUUUUUUAUCAGUGCUGAGAUGAUAAAUUCUACUGAAGUAAAUAAAUUGCUCAAUGGAUAUUCUUAUGUGUUGCUGCCUUUAUUUUUCUUAUGACAUGCUGGAAUUCUUCUGUUGUGAAAAGGAAAGAAAAUUCAGUUUGGUGCCUGGUUCCUUUUCCUUGUCUUGAUUUUAGAAAUUAAUGAGAAUGCUCAUGAAACGGCAAAGAAAAUGAAAAAACCAACAAAAAUUUAGUGUAUUAGCAAACCUGACACCAAAGAAUGAAAAAGUAAAAAGGAAAGAAAACUCAGAAGGAUGCACCCUUUGCAUUAAAAUAUUGAUAAGAGCAUGUGAAAAGAAAGAAAAAAGAGAAGAUAGCAAAUGAACAGAAGGAGAGGAGUUAAAAGACACAGGCUUCCCUUGUGGCUCAGCUGGUAAAGAACCCGCCUGCAAUGUGGGAGACCUGGGUUCAAUCCCUGGGUUGGGAAGAUCCCCUGGAGAAGGGAAAGGCUACCCCCUCCAGUAUGCUGGCCUGGAGAAUUCAUGGACUGUAUAGUCCAUGUGGUCACAAAGAGUCAGACACGACUGAGCAACUUUCACUUCAUAUAGCCACAGCAAAGAUUGGGAGCCUUUUACUGUAAGAUUCCAUCCCUGGGUCAGGAAGUUCCCCUGCAGAAGGAAAUGACAGCCCACUCCAAUAUUCUCACCUGGAAAAUUACAUGCACAGAGGAGCCUGGUGGGCUACAGUCCAUGGGGUUGCAAAGAGUCAUACACUACUUAGCGACUGAAUAACAACAACUAUAGGGUUCAGAGCUCCUGGGCACG